AAUUAAUUUAUCGAUUCGUCAUAGAUUAUGACUUAAUGACAUGCAUACAAAUUAUGUUACUUUGGUAUAAAAAGCAGUAAGUGUCAACCCCUUUCACAGAUCAGGUCUUGAUUAAUACUUGGUUAAACCCUCUCAAGACAGCUAACCAUGCUUGCCAUAACUAUGAUUAUGGUCCUCCUUAUGACCAUGGUCCUCCUUAUGACACAAACAAUCCACGGACUGAGCCAUUUAUUACCUCCUCAUGGGCAUGGACAUACUUACCAUGGUUUCUCUAGAGGAAAUCGCGGUUUUCAUGAUGAUAAUUUCUUCGAGUUCGAUGAUGACCAUCGGUUUCGUCGUAGAUUUCCGUAACCUCCCCGCCGUCGUUUUUAUCAUGGGUAUUUUGAUGACUAAGGGUAUCGAUCCGGAUAUCCGUUCAGCAUUGGUUGUUGUUAGGAUCCUUUCAAUACUUAAUCGUGCGUUUUAUUAUUCUUGUUAAUGAUUAUUAUAAAUAAUAUUGUAUAUUUGUUAUUUGAAUAAAAUGUCGAGUUUUAAAAACUUCAA
Molecule: long non-coding RNA, 543 nt
Organism: Ruditapes philippinarum (Manila clam)
Lineage: Eukaryota; Metazoa; Mollusca; Bivalvia; Venerida; Veneridae
Exons: 3
Source: RefSeq, a predicted model, not a curated record